UAGGGUUUCUGGUUCUUUUUCUGUUUUGGGCUGUAUGAUAGUUGGGCUAGAUGUAGUUGGGUUUAGGUUUGGGCUAGGUUAAUAGGGUUUAGUUUACUGGGCUGUGCUAAUUUUGGAUUUGUAAAAAGUGGACAUUGUUUAUUAUUUUGGUUUUUAUUUUUUUGUUUAUUUAAUCUGCAUAGGCCCGGGCUAAAAUUGGGCCUUAUAGCUGCCCAUCUUUGCUCGUUGUCAUGUAACAAGAACGGAGCGAAGACUAAAAAAAAGGCCAAUUUUGCCUGGUCGUGCUGGACCUCAGUGCUCUUCUUCUUCAAAUAGCAUCAUUCCAUCCUACUGCAUCUUCA
RNAcentral lists this long non-coding RNA (341 nucleotides) under Gossypium raimondii (Peruvian cotton). Its description in RNAcentral is "long non-coding RNA (GRAI_LNC007567)". Lineage: Eukaryota; Viridiplantae; Streptophyta; Magnoliopsida; Malvales; Malvaceae. The record is from RNAcentral.